AGCUGUACCUGAAACCAAGCA
This 21-nucleotide microRNA is filed under the name Homo sapiens (human). Its description in RNAcentral is "hsa-miR-4718". The record is from miRBase by way of RNAcentral. Lineage: Eukaryota; Metazoa; Chordata; Mammalia; Primates; Hominidae.